GGGAAUUCGGAAUGAGUGCUUACUGCAUUUUUUUACACAUGUGUUUUUCUUUUUUUUUGAAAACUUUGCUUUGGUGGGCCCAUGGCCUGCCAGAGAUUAAACUCAACCAAAUUUUAUUUAAGUCAACUGAUUAACUAAUAGUCAAAACUUUCAACAACGGAUCUCUUGGUUCUCGCAUCGAUGAAGAACGCAGCGAAAUGCGAUAAGUAAUAUGAAUUGCAGAUAUUCGUGAAUCAUCGAAUCUUUGAACGCACAUUGCGCCCUUUGGUAUUCCAAAGGGCAUGCCUGUUUGAGCGUCAUUUCUCCCUCAAACCUUCGGGUUUGGUGUUGAGCGAUACGCUGGGUUUGCUUGAAAGAAAGGCGGAGUAUAAACUAAUGGAUAGGUUUUUUUCCACUCAUUGGUACAAACUCCAAAAUUCUUCCAAAUUCGACCUCAAAUCAGGUAGGACUACCCGCUGAACUUAAGCAUAUCAAAAGGCGGGAGGAAAG
Molecule: ribosomal RNA, 489 nt
Filed under: Lodderomyces orthopsilosis
Lineage: Eukaryota; Fungi; Ascomycota; Pichiomycetes; Serinales; Debaryomycetaceae
Description: eukaryotic LSU rRNA
Rfam family: 5.8S ribosomal RNA (bases 146-299)
Source: RNAcentral